GGUUGCUUUGUUUUGUUUUCCAUGGUCCCCAGAGUCUGGCCUAGCCAUUCCAUCGUCCCUCAUGGCAUUCAGCGCAAGAUACCGGUGCUCAGGGAAAUAGCAGGAGAGGUAUAGGGCUACUAAGGGGGUGCACACCAUUCCUGGGUCAAGACAGGUGACAGCUUCCUUCCAGGCCACUUAAGGACCAUCCUGAGCCAACAGAAGCCAGAAGAAAGCCCUGGAGAAGGGUGCUCUGUGACUGCAGCUCUCAGAAAACACAGGAAAAUGGUGUUAUCAGAAUAUUAAAGAACAAAGUAGGAUUCAAGGUCCCCCACACCAAAUGGUAUCUUCUUCGGUCAAUUCAGAAGAUGGUUUUAAAGUGUUCUUCAAACAGAAAGAAGUCCUAUAACAAGAAGUCCUCAGAGCAUCCCUCCUAAGAUCACUCACUCCGAGAUCAGAGAGAUUGUCAUCUCCCAUUUCCUCAAAGGAACAUAUCAUUAAUGACACAAACC
Molecule: long non-coding RNA, 491 nt
Filed under: Mustela putorius furo (domestic ferret)
Lineage: Eukaryota; Metazoa; Chordata; Mammalia; Carnivora; Mustelidae
Description: lncRNA (ENSMPUG00000028707.1)
Source: RNAcentral